UCUAAGGGUUGACGCCACAUAUGCAUGGU
Molecule: small RNA, 29 nt
Filed under: Bombyx mori (domestic silkworm)
Lineage: Eukaryota; Metazoa; Arthropoda; Insecta; Lepidoptera; Bombycidae
Description: ovarian small RNA-29410
Source: RNAcentral